CAUCUCCCAGAAUGCUUCUCUCCGUCCUCCACAUCUGCUUCCUCCUUUCCUUUUGACAAAGCCAUUUCUGACGCAGAGUAGAGAGCUUUUCAGGCUGACCGCCGCCUAUUCAAGAAGAUGGUGUGACUCGUAAUUGGUGCCUGCCGUUAUGUGGCUAGGAAAAUAGCAUCGGCCCUGCGCGCUGAGGAUGUGGAAGAGACCAUGCUGGCUUGCAAGAACCGGACAACUCUAACUGGUAUCUCAAAAAAGCCAGCAGGGUCUGAAUCCAUUCCUCGCUCAGUCAGCGAAAAAUAUCCUCAUGCGGUUAGGUCCGAAGUCAGAACCCGGGAACCAAACUCCUGAUGAAAUAAAAUAAAAAGGACAGCGGAGCGGGAAAAUGACGGCUUGUUUGACGAAAUCCUGCAGCUGCAGGAAGUGAACAGUCCUGAGAAUCCCUUAUUCUGCCCGUCUUUCGUUGUUCCGCUAUGAAAAUAAAUUUAAAUAAAGAA
This is a long non-coding RNA of Pseudonaja textilis, 488 nucleotides long. RefSeq lists it as uncharacterized. Lineage: Eukaryota; Metazoa; Chordata; Lepidosauria; Squamata; Elapidae. The record is from RefSeq and is a predicted model, not a curated record.